This 735-nucleotide ribosomal RNA is filed under the name uncultured bacterium. Its description in RNAcentral is "bacterial SSU rRNA". It matches the Rfam family "Bacterial small subunit ribosomal RNA", at positions 771 to 1501 of the family's 1533-position model. The record is from RNAcentral.
AACAGGAUUAGAUACCCUGGUAGUCCACGCCGUAAACGAUGAGUGCUAAGUGUUAGAGGGUUUCCGCCCUUUAGUGCUGCAGCUAACGCAUUAAGCACUCCGCCUGGGGAGUACGGUCGCAAGACUGAAACUCAAAGGAAUUGACGGGGGCCCGCACAAGCGGCGGAGCAUGCGGAUUAAUUCGAUGCAACGCGAAGAACCUUACCAAGGCUUGACAUGAACCGGUAAGACCUGGAAACAGGUCCCCCACUUGUGGCCGGUUUACAGGUGGUGCAUGGUUGUCGUCAGCUCGUGUCGUGAGAUGUUGGGUUAAGUCCCGCAACGAGCGCAACCCUCGUUCCAUGUUGCCAGCGCGUUAUGGCGGGGACUCAUGGGAGACUGCCGGGGUCAACUCGGAGGAAGGUGGGGACGACGUCAAAUCAUCAUGCCCCUUAUGUCUUGGGCUUCACGCAUGCUACAAUGGCCGGUACAAAGGGUUGCGAUACUGUGAGGUGGAGCUAAUCCCAAAAAGCCGGUCUCAGUUCGGAUUGGGGUCUGCAACUCGACCCCAUGAAGUCGGAGUCGCUAGUAAUCGCAGAUCAGCAACGCUGCGGUGAAUACGUUCCCGGGCCUUGUACACACCGCCCGUCAAGUCACGAAAGUUGGUAACACCCGAAGCCGGUGGCCUAACCCCUUGUGGGAGGGAGCUGUCGAAGGUGGGACUGGCGAUUGGGACUAAGUCGUAACAAGGUAACC